This 120-nucleotide ribosomal RNA is filed under the name Gossypium arboreum. The record is from RNAcentral. Lineage: Eukaryota; Viridiplantae; Streptophyta; Magnoliopsida; Malvales; Malvaceae.
AGGUGUGAUCAUACCAGCAGUAAUGCACUGGAUCACAUCAGAACUCCGCAGUUUAAGCGUGGUUGGGCGAGAGUAGUACUAGGAUGGGUGACUUGGUCAGAAGUCCUCGUGUUGCACCCC